This 2468-nucleotide long non-coding RNA is filed under the name Homo sapiens (human). RNAcentral's name for it is "HSALNT0107233". Lineage: Eukaryota; Metazoa; Chordata; Mammalia; Primates; Hominidae. The record is from RNAcentral.
UCUUAGUCUGCUGCAAUAAUGAAACCAGUACUUGAGGAAGCCACGGAAAUAUUGAACACCGGUGGGAAAGGUCAUGGUUGAGGGAAUAAAGGACCUAGAAGAAUGAAGACUGGAGAUGAAGACAGCAAAUGUUGCUUAUAUUUAUUUUUGCAGCCCAGAGCAUGAAGGAUGAAAAUUACUUAAAACUGAGUAGGACAAGCAAAAAGGCAGCAGCAGACAGAUCAGCUAAGAUGGUAACAGAAGGUCAAUCUUCAAUCUUGAACAGCGGGUGGAAGGACCUAAGCAAGAAUUUUAUUUCUUCAAAUAUUAAAAGUCAGAUGCUUGAAACCAGUACAGCCAUCUUACGUGCAUAAAUAUAAAAGAAUAUUACCACUCUUACAAUUGUCCCUUUUCUCCUGUUCCUUGUAGUCUGUUUUGUUUCAGUCCUCCCAAAUCUUGUCACUUCAAUGUUCUUUUUUUUUUUUUUUUAAUUUUACUUUAAGUUCUGGGAUACAUGUGCUGAACGUGCAGCUUUGUCACCUAGGUAUACAUGUGCCGUGGUGGUUUGCUGCACCUAUCAACCCAUAAUCCAGGUUUUAAGCCCAGCAUGCAUUAGGUAUUUGUCCUAAUGCUCUCUCUCCCCUUGUCCACCGCUCCCCAACAGACCCCGGUGUGUGAUGUUCCCCUCCCUGUGUCCAUGUGUUCUCAUUGUUCAACUCUCACUUAUGAGUGAGAACACGUGGUGUUUGGUUUUCCGUUCCUGUGUUAGUUUGCUGAGGAUGACGGUUUCCAGCUUCAUCCAUGUCCCUGCAAAGGACAUGAACUCAUUCUUUCUUACGGCUGCAUAGUAUUCCAUGGUAUGUAUGUGCCACAUUUUCUUUAUCCAGUCUAUCAUUGAUGGGCAUUUGGGUUGGUUCCAAGUCUUUGCUAUUGUAAAUAGUGCUGCAAUAAACAUUACGUGUGCAUGUGUCUUUAUAGUAGAAUGAUUUUUAAUCCUUUGGGUAUAUACCCAGUAAUGAGAUUGCUGGGUCAAAUGGUAUUUCUGGUCCUAGAUCCUUGAGGAAUUGCCACGCUGUCUUCCACAAUGGGUGAACUAAUUUACACUCCCACCAACAGUGUAAAAGUGUUCCUAUUUCUCCACAGCCUCACCAGCAUCUAUUGUUUCCAGACUUUUUAAUGAUCGCCAUUCUAUCUGGCACGAGAUGAUAUCUCAUUGUUGUUUUGAUUUGCAUUUCUCUAAUGACCAGUGAUGAUGAGUUUUUCUUUAUAUAUUUGUUGGCUGCAUAAAUUUCUUCCUUUGAAAAGUAUCUGUUCAUAUCCUUCGCCCACUUUUUGAUGGGCUUGCUUGUUUUUUUCCUGUAAAUUUGUUUAAGUUCCUUGUAGAUUCUGGGUACUAGACCUUGGUCAGAUUGCAAAUAUUUUCUCCUAUUUUGUAGGUUCCCUGUUUACUCUGAUAGUUUCUUUUGCUGAGCAGAAGCUCUUUAGUUUAAUUAGAUCCCAUUUGUCAAUUUUUGCUUUUGUUGCAAUUGCUUUUGGUGUUUUAGUCAUGAAGUCUUUGCCCAUGCCUAUGUCCUGAAUGGUAUUGCCUAGAUUUUCUGUCAAAUCUUGUCACUUCAAUGUUCUUUUAUCCUAUCUAACAAAUAGGUCCUGGGUGACUGGAUACACAAAGCUUAUAGCUACUAUUGGAAAGCAUGGCAAUUUCCUAAAAUUGCUCUGUGCUGUGUGCUCCGACCAUCACAGAAAAAAAAUGUAUUCAAAAAUUAUAUUUUAUAACAUAUUAAACAUUGAGUACCUAUUGAAUACAAAACAAUGUGCUGAUAAGACAGAACUGUGUUUAUCCAAAGUUAUACUGCACUAGUGCUUCUGAAGAUUGGGAAUCCCUUAUUUAAAGAAAACGCCAUGGGAUGGAAACUUGAGUUAUGAAAGUCUCAUUUCUAUAAUUACCACCACCCUCUCCAGUCUCUUUCCCCCAACUUGCCUUUUCUCAUCUAUAAAAUGCACAGUUCACUGAUUUAGGUGGUCUGCUCAUUGAUUUGUAAACAUGGAUCGAGAUGCCAGACCAUCAUUCAUGCACAUUGGCCUUGUUCACAGACAUAGAAACUAAAAUAAAUUAGACUUGGGCCAGCAAGCGAUCAGCAUGACCUCAGGAGGCAGAGACUGCGUGUCCCUCACAGGCCUUCCCUGGCCUUCCUUCAGUGUUAAACAGUGAUUCAACAUGGUCCCGACCUGACCAAGCUUGGUCUCCUCAACACCAGAAGAUUCUGAGUCUCCCAACACCUGCAAAGGUUCAGACAUCUGCCCUGAGAUGUUAAACAAUCCAUUCUGGUCUAGCUAGCACCGGGGGAAAAGAAAGGUCUUGAAACAACACAAGAUGUUUCAAACUUAGCCUUCGAGAAAAAUAAAAACAAUAUAGGUUCAUUUGUAGAAAGUUUGGGAAAUGUAGAAAAACACAAAGAAAUAAUAAAAUUUACCUAUAACUAUGUUUUCCA